Long non-coding RNA from Polistes canadensis, 1467 nucleotides. RefSeq lists it as uncharacterized. The record is from RefSeq and is a predicted model, not a curated record. The transcript is spliced from 3 exons. NCBI's taxonomy places the organism in Eukaryota, Metazoa, Arthropoda, Insecta, Hymenoptera, Vespidae.
UACACAGACGUACACAUAUAUAUAUGUAUGUAUGAACACAUAGGCGUCGAUACAAGGAGAUGCACUUUCCCUUGGAUUUUAUCGGCCGUUCUGCUACGCGGAUGUGAGAUCCUAAUCUCUAUUAGACUUCAAAUUCAACAGUGAUUGAAAAAGUACGUUUACUUCCUAGUAGAAUUAGAUAGUCGGAAGUGUAUUAGUUGAGCUUCGUUGUGAAACAUUAACGAAUAAUAGGUAAAAUAGGUAAAAUAGGUUUAAACAACGCGAAUUAGUUAAAUAAUUUUCUAUCAAAAUUCUUACCAAAUUGGAUAAAUCUCAAUGCUAGACAAUUAAGAGAUUGUGGAUCGUGACCACUUGCAAAAAAGGUGAUUUUAGUGGAUACUAAUGAGAAAAUACUUCUUAUAUAAGGACUAACAGUAAAUAUUUCUGCGUGAUAUAUUUUAAGUAUUAAGAAGAGACUAUGAGAAUAGAAAGCUGUGUGAAUGAAGAGUACAAUUGGCAAGUAGAUGGGUGAUGAUGAUGAUGAUUCCCUGUAACGUGAUAGAAGAUACAACUAAUUAACUAUGUUAUGUAUGCGUAUUUGAUUUUUAAAUAACAAAUACAAUGUUAUAUUCCAACAUUUCUCAAAGAGGAGAUAAAAAUAAAUUGUAAAGAAAGGGAACGAAACUAUUUCAAAAAGACAAACUAAACUAUAAAGGAUCCUUUCGAGUUUUUAAGGAUCACACACCACGAGUAUCCAAACUUGAUAUCCUCGAAGGCAAGAAAAAAGGAGAGAAAUAAGAAUGAUAGGGUCGACAACUUUUCGAGUGUGAAAGUAAUGUGCAUCGUUUGAUUCUCCUUUAUCGGAAAAUUUCCGCAUAUUCCGAAUACGUGACCGGUCCCAUGCAACGUGCUUUUAUUAUGUGUCCAUUGAACCCGAUAAUAUUGGAGAAAACAAAAUCGUUCAAAAUAAAUUUUUAGUCCUAUCUAAUCUUUAGUUUAUCGUAAUCUUUUUGUCCUUGUAGAUUUAUCAAUCGUGAAAAAUCGAUAAUGAAUAAUACAACGACAGACAUAUUUCUAUACUUGAAGAUCCGUAUUCUGAAUUUCAUUAAUACUAUUUCUAUCAUACCUUACUACUUUCAUAUUAAUAAAAAUGCUAAUUCAAAGAGCUAACUUUCGAACAACUCAAAACCAUUUCAAUAGGAUUAAAGAUCAUUCUAAAGAUUCGUUCGUUGCGUUUUCGAAAAAAAAAAAAAAGAAGAUUUAACUAAAUCGAAUGAUCGAAUAUAUAAUAUGAUUGCAACAAAACGUCACUUUCAUAAGAUCCUUUCGUUCGCACGUUAUUCUCAAUGAUCACGUGCAUAACCGAUCACUAUUUAAAAGACGUGAGUUAGGUGUGUCACUUUGUAAGGUACAACACUACCACCAACCCCGUUUCUUUCAAAAUAGCCGAGAAAAAAUGUAUGUACAUACGUCAUUGAAUAUGAAAUG